Molecule: ribosomal RNA, 401 nt
Filed under: Eucalliaxiopsis aff. panglaoensis UF 28877
Lineage: Eukaryota; Metazoa; Arthropoda; Malacostraca; Decapoda; Eucalliacidae
Description: partial small subunit ribosomal RNA
Source: RNAcentral
AUUUUUAGUCAUAACACCUAUAACUAGAAAACUAAAAGUUAUAUUCUUCAAAUUCAAAGGAUUUGGCGGUGAUUUAGUCCAGUUAGAGGAACCUGUUAAAUAAACGAUAAACCACGCACUAUCUUACCUGUUUUUAUAGUUUGUAUACCGUCAUUAUUAGAUUACUCCGAUAGGAUAAGUUAUUUUAAUAGUUUUAACUAGUAUAUUAGAUCAAGGUGCAGCCAAUAAACAGGUCCUAAUGGGUUACAAUAAAACUUAUUUAAAACGAACAAAAGAUUUAAACAUCUUUUUUAAGGAGGAUUUAAUAGUAAAACUAGUUUAAUAUGCUAUUUUGAUAAAGGACCUAAAUUGAGUACAUAUCGCCCGUCACUUUCAAUUAAAUGAAAUAAGUCGUAACAUAG